UGGGUCUUGUGCUGGACAAUGAUCAGAUCUAAAGUUUUUUGUUCAGAAACCAGUUAAAAUUUGUUCUUCAGGCACAUGAGAACUAUGUAAAAUAUUAAUCAUGCCACACUUGAGAGCAUUGGGAGUAUGAUUGAAGCCACGCACAAAGGACAGAGGCACUGCAAAAGUUUUAAGCUCUGUGAAGUUUUUCCCUCUGCAUUUUGAGAGAACUAGGAUAUGGGCAUCUGAGCUUUGGAUAAGCUCAAGUUUACAGAUGGCGCAUGGUGGAAGAUCAGCCUGAAGAGUUCAAAGAAAAGCCGAGGCAGAAGCGGAAGUAGGUGAUCUUGUUGAAGAUGAAAUGGGAAUCAGAAAUUCUGAGUCAGAUAGGGCACCAGGAGAGGGAUGGAGUCAGGAGCGAGGGAACAGAACUUGUGGCGAGGACUGAAGGCAAUGGA
Carcharodon carcharias (great white shark) is the source of this 434-nucleotide long non-coding RNA. RefSeq lists it as uncharacterized. The record is from RefSeq and is a predicted model, not a curated record. NCBI's taxonomy places the organism in Eukaryota, Metazoa, Chordata, Chondrichthyes, Lamniformes, Lamnidae. The transcript has 3 exons.